Hippocampus zosterae (dwarf seahorse) is the source of this 3398-nucleotide long non-coding RNA. RefSeq lists it as uncharacterized. The transcript is spliced from 2 exons. The record is from RefSeq and is a predicted model, not a curated record. Lineage: Eukaryota; Metazoa; Chordata; Actinopteri; Syngnathiformes; Syngnathidae.
UAAGAUCUAAACCAAAACAUUUCCCCCAUAAUGAAAAUAACGAGCCAUCUAUUUGAGGUGAGUAGUUCUCCUACUUGUUGCCUCGUGUGUUUGGGUGGAUCCACGCUUACCACUGACAAAAACACAAUUUUUGGGGGGGGAGUGGCUGAGUUGCAGCACGGCGUUGCCUUUAAGCUCUUCGAUCUAUCUCAGCGAUGCGCUGACAACGGCGUAAUGAAAGAGACUAUUUUGAAUCCUGGUGGGGGGUGUCGGUAGUAAAUUACCGUGGCAUCUGGGUGGCGGCGAUGAUGCUGAUGUCACCCCUGAUCAAUCGAUCUGGGCGAAUUAGCUAAUGCACCUGAGGCGGGCGCCUUACAUAAACAUAAAACACUUUGGCGAAAAUGCCGCUGGCCGCGAUCGCCGCCAUCGCGCAUUACGGGCGAGGGAACAUUGACGAAUGCCGACCCGAGUCUACCGUCUGCCGGGGGAGUUGUGAGCGAUCUUUGCCAGAGUGGCAUCAUUCUCGAAGACAAAUGGAAGGAUGCUAGCGCAGGGGAAAUGUAUUAGAAAGCUCAUCUUUAAACAUCAUCCAGCAAUCUGGUUCUUUGCCACCGUCAGAGUCCACAUUAGCAUAGCUUUGUUAGGAAUGGUGCGACAUAGGUGGUGCAAAAUGUUUGGAGGGGCAGGGGGGCGGGGGGUACUUGAGAAAGGAAUUAGUUACUUGGGGAGUAGACAUUUUAGCCGCUCAUAUUUACAUGACUAGAUAUGUUUGGUGGGUUGUAGGUAGAUACAUACAAUGGGUAGUAAAGUUGGUAAAUCUCGUAACGAGUAACAGAUCUGCAGACUCGAUUCAGUUAGGCGAGCCCGGAUCCAUCCAUCCAUCCAUCUUCUACCGCUUAUCCGGGGCCGGGUCGCGGGGGCAACAGCUUUAGCAGGGAAGCCCAGACUUCCCUCUCCCUAGCUACUUCUUCCAGCUCUCCCCGGGGGAUCCCGAGGCGUUCCCAGGCCAGCUGGGUGACAUAGUCUCUCCAGCGUGUCCUGGGUCUUCCUCGGGGUCUCCUCCCGGUGGGACAUGCCCGGAACACCUCACCAGGGAGGCGUUCAGGAGGCAUCCGAAUCAGAUGCGCAAGCCACCUCAUCUGGCUCCUCUCGAUGUGGAGGAGAAGCGGCUCGACUCGGAGCCCCUCCCGGGUGACCGAGCUUCUCACCUUAUCUCUAAGGGAGAGCCCGGACACCCUGCGGAGAAAACUCAUUUCGGCCGCUUGUAUCCGGGAUCUCGUUCUUUCGGUCACGACUAGAGAUUUCACGAGCCCGGAUUUCAAAGCAAAUACGGUGAAGCAGCAUUUAGCGGUUAUGCUGCACACAUAUGAAAUAAGAUGCCAACAGUAAUGAAUUCAGCCCCACAUUUAACUGCUUGUAAUCCAAUUAAAACACAAAACGAUGCUCUACCUUUGAUUUAUAUUAGUGUAAGCAUGUUUUAAAUUAUAUUCUCCAAAAUCCCGUUCUUGCACUCGAUGAUUCCGUUUUUAAUAUGCAACUGUUAUUUCUGGGCUUUGCUUUUAAAUGUCUUCACCACUAUUGUUUGUAAAUGUACUUGUAGUGAAGUUGACCUAGCGUGUGUAUGAAAUGUGCUAUCCUCUAUCGAAUAACUAAAGUUGCUUUGCCUUGGAUUUAGCAGCUACCUUCGAUGUCUCCAUAGUUGGGUCUGCAGUUUUGUGAAUUGUGAAACACGCUGACUCUGCACUGGACCUUUAGGGUAGUUGUGUAGUCCAUUGGAGUUACAGUAUAUACGUACUCGUGGGUAUGGCUUUUUCCAUCACACACCUAAGAAAAAUGCUAUUCUUACAUUGGUCUCAAAUCCGAGAGGUCUGAUUUUUCUUUUGUCGUUGGCAGAAAAGCAACUUGCGUGCAUGCGUGUGUGUGUGUGCUUUUGGAGCACAGCCAUCAUCGAUCUGCCUCAGGAGUCUGAUCAGAUGGUUUUUCAUUCCAUUUCCUAUGUCCUAUGAAUCAGACAGAGGUACCAUUUUUUUGAGGGGGGGCUCUUUUUUUUUCCUUCUCUUUUUUUGCCAUCCCGGCAUUGUGGACUUCUUCCAUGUGUGGGUGCGUGUGAGGGUUUUUUGAAGCCAUGGUUGUUUGUUGUGCACUGUUGGGUCUUUUUGUGUGCUUUCCAAUAAGCGCUCGCUCAGCGGAGGUUUUUGGCAUCCCAGAGGAGAAGGAAAACUCAAAAAUACCAUCCUUUUGGUCCUAUUUUUCUCCGAGACACCACUCAGCUCAAGUAAAAUGAUGUGAGCCUAAUCUUCUCUUCAUGCAAAUACAAUUUAAAUAGAAAUAGAAAGUAUACAGCAUAACAGCAGGUCAUUAGUUAAGUAGGUUGGCCGACAUGGUGGUGCUGUAGAUACUGUAGGUAGGUAACAUGCAUAAAUUUGGAAUACGGGUAGCUUGUCGGUUCUUUGGAUAGAUGCAUGGGUUUGGUAAAUAGAUCACAGGUGAGGUAAGCAGUGCAAUGGUCAAUAUUUCAUAUCAGUGGUCAGUCAGUAGGUGGGUUGUUAUCGUAGGUAGGUAGAAAGGAACAAAUAUGUUGUUUGUAGGUCAAUAGGUAAAGUAGGUAGGCAGGUAGGGCACGUCUGUUAUGGGUUGACCCACAAAAAAGUCCCAAGAAGCCAUAUGGGGGGGAAGAAAAAAACAUAACAAAACAAAACAGGAAGUUCUGCAACUUUUUUAUGAUCAUGAUGCCCAUUUCAAGGGUAAAACGUCAUCUUGAGAUCAGAUUGAGGCUCACUUGUGAAGAAUUUGAGUUUUCAUUAUGUGUGGGUGCAGCAUGGCAACAAAUAACUGCAUAAAAUUCAAACUCUCCAAACUCAGCACCGCAUGGUCAAUUAGUCGUUUUACUUUUUUAUUUAAUUUAUUUUUUUUUUUGUACCAUAAAGUGAUAACUCGGGAGUGUUUUGGACAAAUAAGGAGUUCGCUUCUGGAAAAGGAUUUAUUUUAAGAGAAUGGGCCCCUAAAAAAUAAAAACCCAACGACGUGGCUCCCUACUGCGCUUGGCAAUUUGUCCGAGCCGAUGCGUUGCUCGCGUCCAUAAUAAAGUGAGUGCUCCGAUAUGAAAGCGCAGACGACAGCAACGGCGACACAGCUGUCCUGAAUAAAUUGCGGCUUUCGCGUUAACAUCCCACCUCCGCUCCCCAUUCCCAGGCUUGAGUCUAUUAUUGGAUGUCGCUUGCCCUUGAUUAGCUAUUUGCCGCCUUGUGAUGGAAGCACUCGGUAUUGUGGGUAAACAGAUCGACUGUCACCACUCCGCCACUGUUGACUUCCUGUAUGCGUGCCUGUUUUCUACGUGUCAAAGUGAGGGAACAAACACAUACUUAUAAUAGGUACACGCUUUUGGGGGGGGGGGGGGGGGGGGGGGGGGGGGGGGGGGA